RNAcentral lists this ribosomal RNA (879 nucleotides) under uncultured bacterium. Its description in RNAcentral is "bacterial SSU rRNA". It matches the Rfam family "Bacterial small subunit ribosomal RNA", at positions 8 to 916 of the family's 1533-position model. The record is from RNAcentral.
AGAGUUUGAUCCUGGCUCAGGAUGAACGCUGGCGGCGUGCCUAACACAUGCAAGUCGAGCGAUCUUCUUCGGAAGAGAGCGGCGGACGGGUGAGUAACGCGUGGGUAACCUGCCUCAUACACAUGGAUAACAUACCGAAAGGUAUGCUAAUACAAGAUGAUAUGAGAGAUUCGCAUGGAUUUCUUAUCAAAGCUCCGGCGGUAUGAGAUGGACCCGCGUCUGAUUAGCUAGUUGGUAAGGUAACGGCUUACCAAGGCGACGAUCAGUAGCCGACCUGAGAGGGUGAUCGGCCACAUUGGAACUGAGACACGGUCCAAACUCCUACGGGAGGCAGCAGUGGGGAAUAUUGCACAAUGGGCGAAAGCCUGAUGCAGCAACGCCGCGUGAGCGAUGAAGGCCUUCGAGUCGUAAAGCUCUGUCCUCAAGGAAGAUAAUGACGGUACUUGAGGAGGAAGCCCCGGCUAACUACGUGCCAGCAGCCGCGGUAAUACGUAGGGGGCUAGCGUUAUCCGGAUUUACUGGGCGUAAAGGGUGCGUAGGUGGUUUCUUAAGUCAGGAGUGAAAGGCUACGGCUCAACCGUAGUAAGCUCUUGAAACUGGGAAACUUGAGUGCAGGAGAGGAAAGUGGAAUUCCUAGUGUAGCGGUGAAAUGCGUAGAUAUUAGGAGGAACACCAGUAGCGAAGGCGGCUUUCUGGACUGUAACUGACACUGAGGCACGAAAGCGUGGGGAGCAAACAGGAUUAGAUACCCUGGUAGUCCACGCCGUAAACGAUGAGUACUAGGUGUCGGGGGUUACCCCCCUCGGUGCCGCAGCUAACGCAUUAAGUACUCCGCCUGGGGAGUACGCUCGCAAGAGUGAAACUCAAAGGAAUUGACGG